GUCAGUUCAGGGUUAGCACUGUGGAUUUUCUUCUUGACCAAGUCCUCAAGCAGAAGGCGUCGGAGUCUCCAGUAGAAGAAACACGUUAUCCCAGCUCACAGGGCAUUCAGAUCCGUG
Elgaria multicarinata webbii is the source of this 117-nucleotide long non-coding RNA. RefSeq lists it as uncharacterized. The transcript has 3 exons. The record is from RefSeq and is a predicted model, not a curated record. Lineage: Eukaryota; Metazoa; Chordata; Lepidosauria; Squamata; Anguidae.